This 807-nucleotide long non-coding RNA is filed under the name Ananas comosus (pineapple). RNAcentral's name for it is "long non-coding RNA (ACOM_LNC023492)". The record is from RNAcentral. Lineage: Eukaryota; Viridiplantae; Streptophyta; Magnoliopsida; Poales; Bromeliaceae.
CCCCCCCCCCCCUCACAUUUUUAAAUUAUAUAACAAUCCACUAGUAAGUUAUUAAAAAAAUUUAAAUAUUGUAAAUUUAGAGGACCAAAGUGAAAUUUUUUUGAAAAGAAUUGUUGGCUUGUGGGCCAAGACUCCAAGGCUUACGCACAGGAAUGGCCCAUAUAUAGACCAAAAGGAGUCAUGGCCCUCUUCAACUUUUCAAUAUUUACUUUAUAGUCCUUUGAUAGUUUAUAUAUUUUCAGUUAAUUUUUAAAAUAUAUCGGCCUAUUUUGUAAAACGUUUUUAGUGCUAAUAUAGAGCUCUCUCUCUUCUUAUGUGUUUUAUAGGUGAAAAUAUAUUAAGAACUUUUUAAUUAUAGUGCAUUUUGAAAUAAGUCCUUUCAACUUUAAAUAUUUUAUUUAUACAUUCUUAACUUUUCAAUUAUUUUGAUGAGCUAAUUUAUUUAACUAAAUAAAAUAGUAUGCUAAAUUUAAUAGCUCUGUUAGAUAUUAGUCAUUGGUUGUUAUUAUUUUAUUAACAAAAAUUUAAAAAAAUUAAAUUCUAACUAAAUUGCUAUUAGAUUUAGUAAAAUUCUUAAAUUAUUUGAAUGAAAUAAUGCAAAUAAAAUAAUUAGAAGUUAAGCGAGUGUAAAUUAAAGAAAUAAAUUUAAUAUUUUUUAACAUUAAUUAUCUAAUCACUAAAUUUUUUUAUUAAAAAUUUGAAUAGUUAAAAAUUUAUUUAUCUACUAAACUUUUUAUUUGUACAUAUUUUGGCCCCCCUUGUGAUUGAAUUCUGCCUUCGUCCCUGAUCAUACUAUAAUUAGACCUA